CUUGUCACCGAGCUAGUUAUCUAUGUCACUUCACUUCCACAAAUCAGAAGGAUGAAGUUUGAAAUCUUCUACUAUACACAUCAUCUCUACACAAUCUCUCUAGUAUUCUUCUUGUUCCAUGGUGGGGAUAGGCACUUCUAUACAGUCUUCAGAGGACUAUUUCUUUUCAACCUCGACAAACUGCUCCGCAUCAUACAAUCGAGUCCAAGAACCUGCAUGGUUUCGGCUAGAACUUUCCCAUCCAAAGCUGUGGAAAUAGUUCUGCCUAAAGAUCCAUGGCUAAAGUAUAUGCCUACAAGUGUUAUAUUUAUGAAGAUACCAGCAAUAUCACAUCUUCAAUGGCAUUCUUUCAAUAUAAUAUCAAGUUCCAGGGCUAAAAACCAAACCAUGUCUGUAAUAAUCAAAUCUGAAGGGUGGUGGACUAAUUUUCUUUAUGAUCUGAUACAAGCUGAGAUUGACAAAGCUGCUUUCUUGGCUCUUGCAAUAUUUGAGGACCUUGAAGUUUCUUGCAAUAUUAUGUACUCUUUCAAUACUGCCGUGAUUCGUUGACCAUUACAUCAUUAUGUAAGUGUUGAAGCUUUGGCAGAACAAAUUCACUGGUUCAAUUCCUUCAAGGCUUGGACAGAAUGGCAAGUUAAAGAGUGUUUUGGAAAUCCUUCUUCUUCAUGGAAACAGAUUCUCAGGUGAAAUUCCACUAGAUAUAGGCAAGUUAAAAAGUGUUCUUAAGAUGGAUUUGAGUGUUAACAACUUUUCAGGUGCUAUUCCUCCUGAGAUUUGUGCGAACACAAAAUUCAUUGCAUUCAUGAUCACUUAUGGUCUUAGUGCUGCUGCAAGGGUUCAACCGUGGAAAUGACAGAUUUGGAUAGGGAUGAUGUGGGAUCAGAAGAUGCUAACUUUUUGUUCAGUGGUCAUAGAGCAAGAAUCACCUGUAUGAGGUGCUGUUCAAAUUAUAGUAAUUAAUAACUGAGGACAAAGUGGGUGGAGCCUUGAAGUUUAACACACACCCCCUAUGAGAUAGACUACCUCAAUCAGAUAUACAUUCAGCGGCGGCAUGUUUGAGAUGAAUGAAGUGAAGGAUGGCAGUCCGUACGGUGCCCGAACUUAUGCUGGUGGUGAUGGAUCAAGACAACCAACUAAACUUGAGUUGGAGCAAGCAUUCCACGAGGGCAAGUAUAUUGCCACCAUUACUAAGAAGCUCAAGAAAGAAUGAUGCUAUCCAUAAAUUAGGAUAUUGUAUCUUGAUGAGUCCACUAGUAGUUACUUGUCAUCUAAUGUAUUCAGCUUGUAUUAUUGCAUGGAAAUAAUUGCUUCUUAUUAUAAAGAA
Molecule: RNA transcript, 1324 nt
Organism: Arachis stenosperma
Lineage: Eukaryota; Viridiplantae; Streptophyta; Magnoliopsida; Fabales; Fabaceae
Gene name: ferric reduction oxidase 8, mitochondrial-like
Exons: 8
Source: RefSeq, a predicted model, not a curated record